AGUGAACGCUGGCGGUAGGCCUAACACAUGCAAGUCGAACGGCAGCACAGUAAGAGCUUGCUCUUACGGGUUGCGAGUGGCGGACGGGUGAGGAAUACAUCGGAAUCUACUUUUUCGUGGGGGAUAACGUAGGGAAACUUACGCUAAUACCGCAUACGACCUACGGGUGAAAGCAGUGGAUCUUCGGACCUUGCGCGAUUGAAUGAGCCGCUGUGGGAUUAGCUAGUUGGCGGGGUAAAGACCCACCAAGGCGACGAUCCGUAGCUGGUCUGAGAGGAUGAUCGGCCACACUGGAACUGAGACACGGUCCAGAGGCCUACGGGAGGCAGCAGUGGGGAAUAUUGGACAAUGGGCGCAAGCCUGAUACAGCCAUACCGCGUGGGUGAAGAAGGCCUUCGGGUUGUAAAGCCCUUUUGUUGGGAAAGAAAAGCAGCAGGUUAAGACCCCGCUGUUCUGACGGUACCCAAAGAAUAAGCACCGGCUAACUUCGUG
RNAcentral lists this ribosomal RNA (492 nucleotides) under uncultured bacterium. RNAcentral's name for it is "partial 16S ribosomal RNA". It matches the Rfam family "Bacterial small subunit ribosomal RNA", at positions 29 to 507 of the family's 1533-position model. The record is from RNAcentral.